GAACUCUGGAGAGAAGCCACCUUGAUCUAAAGGACGGCUCGCCGAAGGGAUAACAAUCUCAGGCGACAAGGACAGAGGGGGCUCU
Molecule: non-coding RNA, 85 nt
Filed under: Agrobacterium tomkonis CFBP 6623
Lineage: Bacteria; Pseudomonadati; Pseudomonadota; Alphaproteobacteria; Hyphomicrobiales; Rhizobiaceae
Also listed under: 1 other name
Description: Agrobacterium genomosp. 3 str. CFBP 6623 Glycine
Rfam family: Glycine riboswitch aptamer
About the family: This family represents the bacterial glycine riboswitch.
Source: RNAcentral